GUCCUUUAGAAUAGAAUUUAAGGUUUAACCUGCCCACUGAUUAGUUAAAUGGCCGCAGUAAUUUGACUGUGCAAAGGUAGCAUAAUAAUUAGUUUUUUAAUUAAAAGCUUGUAUGAAUGGUUGGACGAAAUAAAUACUGUCUCUAAAUAAUAAGUAGAAUUUAAUUUUUAAGUUAAAAAGCUUAAAUAAUAGUAAAAGACAAGAAGACCCUAUAGAUCUUUAUAAUAUUUUUUAUAUAUUUAAUUAAGAUUAUUUUAUUAUUUAUAAUAAAUAUUAUUGUAUUGGGGUAAUAGAAAGAUUAAAUAAAUUCUUAUUGUAUAUGUAUAUAAAUUAAUAAGUUUAUGAUCCUUUAUUAGAGAUUAUAAGAUUAAGUUACCUUAGGGAUAACAGCGUAAUUUUUUUGAAGAGUUCAUAUCGAUAAAAAAGUUUGCGACCUCGAUGUUGGAUUAAAAAUUAUUCUAGGUGUAGUAGUUUAGAAUUUUGGUCUGUUCGACCAUUAAAUUUUUACAUGAUCUGAGUUCAGACCGGUGUAAGCCAGGUCGGUUUCUAUCUUUAUUAAAUUAGUAUAUUUUAGUACGAAAGGACCAAAUAUAGAAUAUAUUAAUAUUUUUAUUUAUGAAUUAUA
RNAcentral lists this ribosomal RNA (625 nucleotides) under Paroster readi. RNAcentral's name for it is "partial 16S ribosomal RNA". The stretch from base 383 to 541 matches the Rfam family "Bacterial large subunit ribosomal RNA", at positions 2473 to 2632 of the family's 2925-position model. Lineage: Eukaryota; Metazoa; Arthropoda; Insecta; Coleoptera; Dytiscidae. The record is from RNAcentral.